Molecule: small RNA, 29 nt
Filed under: Bombyx mori (domestic silkworm)
Lineage: Eukaryota; Metazoa; Arthropoda; Insecta; Lepidoptera; Bombycidae
Description: ovarian small RNA-10540
Source: RNAcentral
AAGAUCGGACGAUACCCCUGGGAGUGGGC